Molecule: transfer RNA, 65 nt
Filed under: Micrasema sp. XG-2021
Lineage: Eukaryota; Metazoa; Arthropoda; Insecta; Trichoptera; Brachycentridae
Description: tRNA-Asn
Source: RNAcentral
UUAAUUAAAACCAAAAAGAGGUAUUUCAUUGUUAAUGAAAAAAAUGAUUAAAUAAUCUAAUUAAA